GCUGCAAGUCCUGCCUCUCCCAUUGGUUAUACCCACGUGGGUGAUUGAAAGACGAACUGUUUUGCCGGUCGUCGUGGUAAUACUAUGAAAGUGUAGAUGCCAAUUGCCAUAUAAGUACAAAGAUGAAAGCCGGGAAGGAGGAGAGAUGACUAGAAACAUUCGGUUGGCCGUUUUAUGUGUGGAUUAAUUAUCGGAGUAAAGGACCUUGUGCAUUUCAGCUCAUUUGUAACAACUGGUCAUAGAACGUUAAAGUGACGCAAUUCCAUCGAUUUCCCACUUCAGAAGAAGGCAUCCGAUCAGUGCAGCAGAAAAGAAGUCGAGCUGAGAUGGCUAAGUUAACCCUACUUUCAUAUGUGUGUAUUGUUAUAUACUACUGCACUGUUGGAGCUAGGAACACAAGCCUUUCACUACAACCGCAAUAACACCUGCUAAAUGUGUAGAUGAACAAUAAAACAUUUGAUUUGAA
Long non-coding RNA from Oncorhynchus nerka (sockeye salmon), 466 nucleotides. RefSeq lists it as uncharacterized. NCBI's taxonomy places the organism in Eukaryota, Metazoa, Chordata, Actinopteri, Salmoniformes, Salmonidae. The transcript has 3 exons. The record is from RefSeq and is a predicted model, not a curated record.